RNAcentral lists this long non-coding RNA (490 nucleotides) under Salvia miltiorrhiza (redroot sage). RNAcentral's name for it is "long non-coding RNA (SMIL_LNC005509)". Lineage: Eukaryota; Viridiplantae; Streptophyta; Magnoliopsida; Lamiales; Lamiaceae. The record is from RNAcentral.
GCAUUUUGUUUUUCUAUUUUUUCUCUUUUAUUUCUUCAUUCAUUUUUUGUUUUUAAAUGAGCCGGGAUAGUUUGGGGACGAUGGUUAGGCCGGAGUUCCGGAAACUUUCCCUUCCGCUCUUCCCUACUUUCGUUUUGUGUUUAGACGAAUAAUCUUUUUCCUUUUCACGGUUUUUCCCACUGGAUUUUCAGUGAAAAGGUUUUAAUGAGGUUCGGCCCUUAGUCUGCUCCUUCUGUGCUUUCAAGGGUUUUUUUUAGGUUUUUCUUUUCUUUUCUUUUAUAAAAUCAUCAUUUAAUAAUUUUUUGUUUUUAAAUUCAAUUUUGUUUUUAAUUUUCUCAUUUUCUAUUUAUGAAUCUUGCAAUUUAUUUUCCUUUUUCUCUAUUUUUAAAACAUGUUUUAAUCUUAAUUAUGUAAUUUAAAUGUAAUUAUAUAAUUUUAGUUUUUGAAAUAGAUGGCAAAUUAUUGAAUUACUUUACUAUUUAAAUAUCAA